AUUGAACGCUGGCGGCAUGCCUUACACAUGCAAGUCGAACGGCAGCACGGGAGCAAUCCUGGUGGCGAGUGGCGAACGGGUGAGUAAGGUAUCGGAACGUGCCCAGUCGUGGGGGAUAACGUAGCGAAAGUUACGCUAAUACCGCAUACGAUCUAUGGAUGAAAGCGGGGGAUCGCAAGACCUCGCGCGAUUGGAGCGGCCGAUAUCAGAUUAGGUAGUUGGUGGGGUAAAGGCUCACCAAGCCGACGAUCUGUAGCUGGUCUGAGAGGAGGGCCAGCCACACUCGGACUGAAACACGGCCCAGACUCCUGCGGGAGGCAGCAGUGGGGAAUUUUGGACAAUGGGCGAAAGCCUGAUUCAGCCAUGCCGCGUGCAGGAUGAAGGCCUUCGGGUUGUAAACUGCUUUUGUACGGAACGAAAAGGUUUGGGCUAAUAAGCUGAGCUCAUGACGGUACCGUAAGAAUAAGCACCGGCUAACUACGUGCCAGCCGCCGCCGUAA
Molecule: ribosomal RNA, 500 nt
Filed under: uncultured bacterium
Lineage: Bacteria
Description: partial 16S ribosomal RNA
Rfam family: Bacterial small subunit ribosomal RNA
Source: RNAcentral